AUGCGUCUACAGAUGUACCAUCUUCCUCGUCUCAGCCUACUUAUGGCUACCUUCCUCCUCCGCUUCGAACCGUUGAUCGCCUUAAUCUUCCAAGCGUUGGUGCUGUUGUUCUUGAGCCAACUUCUUAUAGUAAUGUUGUUCAUACCAAAUGGCACCUUGCCAUGGCAGAGAUUGCUGCUCUUUGAGCACAUUGGCACGUGGGAUAUUGUUCCUCUUCCUCCUCAUGUUCGUCCCAUCACUUGGUGGGUCUAUAAAGUUAAGACUCGCUCUGAUGGUUCUCUUGAGCAUUACAAACCUCGUCUUGCGGCUCGUGGCUUUCAGCAGGAGCAUGGUUCUGAUUACGAGUCCUGA
Molecule: ribosomal RNA, 351 nt
Filed under: Triticum aestivum (bread wheat)
Lineage: Eukaryota; Viridiplantae; Streptophyta; Magnoliopsida; Poales; Poaceae
Description: partial small subunit ribosomal RNA
Source: RNAcentral